RNAcentral lists this unclassified non-coding RNA (394 nucleotides) under Hevea brasiliensis (rubber tree). The record is from RNAcentral. Lineage: Eukaryota; Viridiplantae; Streptophyta; Magnoliopsida; Malpighiales; Euphorbiaceae.
GAGAAAGUGCUCUCACACCUACUUCCAAAAGGGUUCUCCAUUGUAGCAGGGCAAGGCAAAUCACCACUGCAGGGAACCGAAAUGUUUGGUGAGGUUUCCCGAUCUGGCUGAUUGGACAACUGGGAGACCGGGGUAGUUGAAUUUCCAAGAGCAGUGCCAGCAUUUGUCGGGCAGGACAGUAGAUACUGAGAAGCAGUGGUAUUUACAGAAGUGUUCCCUCCUUCAGGAAGGUAGGCUACUGAAGUUUGCUGAGGCAAACUGUUACCAGAGUUUCCGUCUGCAUACUGUUGAGAGAACAUCUGGGCUUCAGAUGACAGUGGGUUGUUAUACAUAUUACCCACCUGUGACUGGGAAGAUACUGAAUUUUCACUGGAAACAAGACUUUCAAAUUCAC